ACACCAGCCCUGGCCAUGGAGAAGAACAAUGUGAUGGUCUGCGCAGCUGUGGGCUUCCUCGGCCUCCUCUCCGCCGCGCUUGGCUUCGCCGCAGAGGCCACAAGGAUCACGGUUUUGGCAUACCGAGACGAUCCCUUUUCGCUUUCAUUUUCUCUCCCUGAUCUCCGUGAUUUGUUGAUCAUGGCAUUCCACCAUUCCCUGAUGCAGAGAACUUUCAUUGCGAAGACUCUGCUCAUUUGUAGGUGCUGUCACUGUUUCCUCCCAUUGUACUUGCAAAUGCGUGGUAGAGCUUCGAUGAUUUCUAUUUUCUUGGUCUUUCUUGGAAGACGCGGCUUUGGUGCUAUAAGAAAGCUGUUCUCUUGGAACCAGCUACGACGAUGACCUUUGACCCCUUUAUCGCAUUUGGAUUUGUAGGAUUUAUAGUCUGGAUGUUGGUGAUUAGAAUUAGAAGGCCUCUUUCCAGUUCCGUUACUGUUCUCGAUGGCAAAGGUUCGAUCUAUAGGUUCCUUGGUUGUGUUUUCUUUCGUGAGUAAGGGUGGACUGUAAUCAUUAUGGAUUGCUGUCAGUUGUCAAGUUUUGUUUCUACUCUCCGGAAGGUUAUAUGCAGGUUUCUGAUGUGCAAACAACAAAUCUAGUUGUAUGCACGUACCCAAGGACUCCUGCACUAGCUCUGGGUUUAUUAGCAGCAGUGGCUCUUAUGAUAGCUCAAGCCAUCAUAAAAACUGUAUCUGGGUGUAUUUGUUGUACAAAGUAUCCAAAUCCAUCAGACACUAACUGGACAUUAGGGUUGAUCUCCUUUAUUGCUACUUGGGAUUCUGUAAUUUAGAUUCCUUGCCUGGAAGCAACUGCAAGGAUCAUCACUUUCUCCUCUUUAUUACUCAUGAUUCUGUCCCUUUUUUGGUGCAUC
This is a non-coding RNA of Musa acuminata subsp. malaccensis (wild Malaysian banana), 907 nucleotides long. Lineage: Eukaryota; Viridiplantae; Streptophyta; Magnoliopsida; Zingiberales; Musaceae. The record is from RefSeq and is a predicted model, not a curated record.